Molecule: transfer RNA, 77 nt
Filed under: Candidatus Formimonas warabiya
Lineage: Bacteria; Bacillati; Bacillota; Clostridia; Eubacteriales; Peptococcaceae
Also listed under: 3 other names
Description: Peptococcaceae bacterium DCMF tRNA-Arg
Rfam family: tRNA
About the family: Transfer RNA (tRNA) molecules are approximately 80 nucleotides in length. Their secondary structure includes four short double-helical elements and three loops (D, anti-codon, and T loops).
Source: RNAcentral
GCGCCUGUAGCUCAGGUGGAUAGAGCAACGGACUUCUAAUCCGUGUGCCAGGGGUUCGAGUCCCUUCAGGCGCGCCA